GAUGAACGCUGGCGGCGUGCUUAACACAUGCAAGUCGAACGGUGAAGGCGGAGCUUGCUCUGCUGGAUCAGUGGCGAACGGGUGAGUAACACGUGAGCAAUCUGCCCCUGACUCUGGGAUAAGCGCUGGAAACCGCGUCUAAUACUGGAUACGAGCUGCGAAGGCAUCUUCAGCAGCUGGAAAGAACUUCGGUCAGGGAUGAGCUCGCGGCCUAUCAGCUUGUUGGUGAGGUAACGGCUCACCAAGGCGUCGACGGGUAGCCGGCCUGAGAGGGUGACCGGCCACACUGGGACUGAGACACGGCCCAGACUCCUACGGGAGGCAGCAGUGGGGAAUAUUGCACAAUGGGCGAAAGCCUGAUGCAGCAACGCCGCGUGAGGGACGACGGCCUUCGGGUUGUAAACCUCUUUUAGCAGGGAAGAAGCGAAAGUGACGGUACCUGCAGAAAAAGCGCCGGCUAACUACGUG
Molecule: ribosomal RNA, 468 nt
Filed under: uncultured bacterium
Lineage: Bacteria
Description: partial 16S ribosomal RNA
Rfam family: Bacterial small subunit ribosomal RNA
Source: RNAcentral